GAUGAACGCUGGCGGCGUGCCUAAUACAUGCAAGUCGAGCGAACAGACGAGGAGCUUGCUCCUCUGACGUUAGCGGCGGACGGGUGAGUAACACGUGGAUAACCUACCUAUAAGACUGGGAUAACUUCGGGAAACCGGAGCUAAUACCGGAUAAUAUAUUGAACCGCAUGGUUCAAUAGUGAAAGACGGUUUUGCUGUCACUUAUAGAUGGAUCCGCGCCGCAUUAGCUAGUUGGUAAGGUAACGGCUUACCAAGGCAACGAUGCGUAGCCGACCUGAGAGGGUGAUCGGCCCCACUGGAACUGAGACACGGUCCAGACUCCUCCGGGAGGCAGCAGUAGGGAAUCUUCCGCAAUGGGCGAAAGCCUGACGGAGCAACUCCGCGUGAGUGAUGAAGUUCUUCGGAUCGUAAAACUCUGUUAUUAGGGAAGAACAAAUGUGUAAGUAACUAUGCACGUCUUGACGGUACCUAAUCAGAAAGCCACGGCUAACUACGUG
RNAcentral lists this ribosomal RNA (497 nucleotides) under uncultured bacterium. RNAcentral's name for it is "partial 16S ribosomal RNA". It matches the Rfam family "Bacterial small subunit ribosomal RNA", at positions 28 to 507 of the family's 1533-position model. The record is from RNAcentral.